This 253-nucleotide ribosomal RNA is filed under the name uncultured bacterium. RNAcentral describes it as "partial 16S ribosomal RNA". It matches the Rfam family "Bacterial small subunit ribosomal RNA", at positions 524 to 776 of the family's 1533-position model. The record is from RNAcentral.
UACGUAGGGGGCGAGCGUUGUCCGGAGUUACUGGGCGUAAAGCGCACGCAGGCGGUCUGCUAAGUUUGGAGUGACAGUUGGUGGCUUAACUGCCAAAGUGCUUCGAAAACUGACAGACUUGAGGGCUUCAGAGGGACACGGAAUUCCAGGUGUAGCGGUGAAAUGCGUAGAUAUCUGGAGGAACACCGGUGGCGAAGGCGGCAUCCUGGACCGAUACUGACGCUGAGGAGCGAAAGCCAGGGGAGCAAACGGG